This 72-nucleotide transfer RNA is filed under the name Candidatus Obscuribacterales bacterium. Its description in RNAcentral is "tRNA-Thr". It matches the Rfam family "tRNA". Rfam says of the family: Transfer RNA (tRNA) molecules are approximately 80 nucleotides in length. Lineage: Bacteria; Bacillati; Candidatus Melainabacteria; Candidatus Obscuribacterales. The record is from RNAcentral.
GCCGACAUAGCUCAAUGGUUGAGCAACUGCUUCGUAAGCAGAAGGCUGGAGGUUCAAAUCCUCUUGUCGGCU